RNAcentral lists this ribosomal RNA (253 nucleotides) under uncultured bacterium. RNAcentral describes it as "partial 16S ribosomal RNA". It matches the Rfam family "Bacterial small subunit ribosomal RNA", at positions 524 to 776 of the family's 1533-position model. The record is from RNAcentral.
UACGUAGGGUGCAAGCGUUGUCCGGAAUUAUUGGGCGUAAAGAGCUUGUAGGCGGUUUGUCGCGUCUGCUGUGAAAUUUCGGGGCUCAACCCCGAACUUGCAGUGGGUACGGGCAGGCUAGAGUGUGGUAGGGGAGACUGGAAUUCCUGGUGUAGCGGUGAAAUGCGCAGAUAUCAGGAGGAACACCGAUGGCGAAGGCAGGUCUCUGGGCCACUACUGACGCUGAGAAGCGGAAGCAUGGGGAGCGAACAGG